CGGAGGGUGCGAGCGUUGUCCGGAAUCAUUGGGCGUAAAGGGCGCGUAGGUGGCCCGGUCAGUCCGUGGUGAAAGCGCGGGGCUCAACCCCGCGUCGGCCAGGGAUACUGCGGGGCUGGAGCACUGUAGAGGCAGGCGGAAUUCCGGGUGUAGCGGUGGAAUGCGUAGAGAUCCGGAAGAACACCGGUGGCGAAGGCGGCCUGCUGGGCAGUGGCUGACACUGAGGCGCGACAGCGUGGGGAGCAAACAGGAUUAGAUACCCUGGUAGUCCACGCCGUAAACGAUGGGCACUAGGCGCUUGGGGGAGCGACCCCCCGAGGGCCGGCGCUAACGCAUUAAGUGCCCCGCCUGGGGAGUACGGCCGCAAGGCUG
Molecule: ribosomal RNA, 372 nt
Filed under: uncultured organism
Description: bacterial SSU rRNA
Rfam family: Bacterial small subunit ribosomal RNA
Source: RNAcentral